This is a long non-coding RNA of Dreissena polymorpha, 2867 nucleotides long. RefSeq lists it as uncharacterized. The transcript is spliced from 2 exons. The record is from RefSeq and is a predicted model, not a curated record. Lineage: Eukaryota; Metazoa; Mollusca; Bivalvia; Myida; Dreissenidae.
CAUUCAAUAAAACCGUUUCAUAGAGCGCGGUUUCUACACAUGUACGGGCCGCUUUAUAGCAAUCGCAAUUUUUUUCAAGUAUCACUUGUCAUUUCAACUAAGACUAAGGGCGUAAAUGGUACAACGGCCGGAACGCACAAGGCUGUAUUGUUUAUUUCGCUUACAGCCCACUUGUUACUAGGAUCUUUGACUAGUAAGUGUUAAACAGUCCACCAAUCCCAACCGUCAAAGUGGUGUACGUGCGAAUGUAAACUUUCGACAAGUUUAGCCAUGUUGCAGUAGGUUAAGUGCAGAGGAUUGAAAUUGGUUGGCGAACGGUGACAAGCUUCUAUCAUCGACGAGAAAAAAAUGACACAGGACGAGAAAAUUGUGCAGCGAGUCCGGAAUUUAAACCUGGGACCCCUUGUUCUUCUGAUUGAGCUAAUCAGGGCGCCACAAAACAUCUCCCCUUUAGGGACAAUCACUAAGUUUGUGCACUGACAUUCUGCUCUGCCAAGCUGGAAUUUGUUCGAGAAUUCAAGUCACAAGGAUCAUUGUUAACCUGAUCCAUUCAAACCACGAAUAAAUUUUGUUGAGAAUUGCUUGUGCCAUGGUCCCACAUUGGGCACCAAAUGUUGCAGAAUGGGAAAAUUGUACAGCCACAUGGAACUCGAAUUUUUACCCCUCGCUAUCAGGGCCAGUGCCUAUGAGAAUGCUGUUAGAUACAUGUGGACAAUAAAACAUGUAGUUAAUUACUUGAUCAGUAUUAAUGGUGACCGGUAACCUGCUAAUUUGGAACUGCCACCAUUGUGGGAUCAUACUAUUGGUCAUUUAUAUCAAGUUCUGAACAUAUUGACUAACCUACAUGUAGAAUAGUAGAUGUGUGUUUCUGUUCACAAUGCUUAAAACUAUCAAUCUAUAAACUGCAGUUCUAGGUCUUAUUGCCAUUUAAAGAUAUAAUAAAAUACGAUAAAUGAAAUGCUUAACAUUGCUGAAUUCUUCAUUCCUGCCCUUGUAUUUCAAGAGAGAAUACUUUCCAGUCAACCCGAUUUGAAAGAGGUCUGGGUCUAAAUCCCAGCAGGGGCUCCAGAAGUUGAUGUAAUGGCAACAAAACAUUUAUUGAUAAUAUUCAAAUGGUACUUUUAUUUCAAUACAAUUAUUGCAAUGGUUUUUAAUUGCAUUGACUAGUUUAUAAAUAUCAAAUUUGCCUGAAAUCAAAAAUUUCAUUGUAAAUACAUACAUAAAGCAACGAUCCUGAUUACUGAAUAUUUCAUUUGAUAAUGUCAAUAUCAGUAUCAACUUCCCAUUACCAGUAUAUACACCAUUUAAAACAACUUCAGUUUGUGAAAAUAUCCACAAAAUAAACCAUUAGAAAAUGAAAUAUACUGCUGUUUUUACUCAUGAAAUUGGGAAUUCAAGCGAUAAUUUAACCAACAUUGAGAAAAGACUAUACGUUUUCUCAAUUUUUAAAAUUAAAACAAUGAUGUCCCUUGGUGUUUUUUUUAAUGGAAUUGGGAAAACAGAUAUGUUUUUCGAUUGGGAAUAUGACCGAAUAACGGCUAUAAAAUCAGCUGGAAAAAAGCCCUGAGUUACAAGGCAAAUAAAUGUGCAUCUUAACUCUUAAGAAACACAUAGAUUUUAUUCAAUACCUUGUGUUUAUUUUUAUCAUGAUCUCUUACCAGUUAUAAUUUUACAUGAAACAGUAUAAUUUUCUAACACUUCCCUUUAAACAGGUUUACUGGGAUACAUGUGUUAUCUUUAAUUUUGAUUAAUAACUCAGAUUAAAUUUCGACACAUUCUUAAUGUAAAAUACAUGUAUUAUGACAUUUUUUAAAGUUUAAUAUUUCCAACAAAGUUGAUAUUCUGAAACAGCCUGUGGUACAAUAGGCCCUAUCGGUAUAUACAAAUUAUUCACAAUAUAUUUUUUUAAACAAAAAAAUAGCAUCAUGCAUUAUUUGUCUAUACAUCAUUUAUUAUCUAAAGUAGUAAUUGUCACAGUUAUUAUUUAAUACAUACACUUUUUUCUGCAAUCAAUUUUUACAUUUAUCAGUGCAAUAUGUACCCAUUCAUAUAGAAUGAAUGGCAUUCCUAUAGAUAAAAUUUUAAGAUCACAUUUUAAUGCUAGAAUAUUUUUAUAUUUUUAAGUGCUUGCAUGUACAUGUAUAUUUAGUGUUGUUAAUUAAGAUUGAAAAGAGACUAAAAAAAUAAGUUAUUGGUAUGGUACUGUAUGUUGAAACAUAAUUAAAGCUGAACAUGACGGAUUAAAAUGAAGUCAAGUUGUGUUUUCCUUUUUAUUUGAAUCAGAUAUAAAUUAUGGAAAAGUAUGCAAGUGUAUGAAAGAAAAAAGUAAGGACAUUCGAAUUUAGACCCCACACUGUCGCAUUUUCUCUUAUUGUUUUAUAUUGUUAAACUCAUCCUCUGCACUUGCGAAGAAUAUUAAAAAAAAUCCUGUCAUAUGUAAUCAUGUUUAAAUUUCUGUACUUUGAUGCAUUGCUGUACCUUCUGAAUAUCCUAAAUAAAUGAUAUUGACAUUGAACAAAACAAGGACAUGCACUACUGUAUCAGCAAUUCAGGUCUUUUUCCAGACAUUUGCUAAGGCACAUGGGAAAAUAUGUGUGCUUCACCAAGUACUGGGUUACCCCUUUGAAUUUGUUUAAUUUUAGGCACUUAAUCAAAUGUUACUGUACUUAAGAAAGUGCAAUCAUGAUAUUGAUGAAUUACAGCAACACACAUUGGUGAGAAAAUGUGAUCAUUAAAUUAAAGAUUUAGGCACAGGGGUGCCCUGGUGCUUAAAAAGCCUGUGGAAAGGCAUGAGUAUUACAAGUAUGGUGAUUUAUUAUUUAUUUAAAAGAUCAUGUAGAGAAUUGAAUAAAUGUUAUAGAAGCUUG